AAUGAUGUUAUGACCGGGAAGAGUAAAUAUAUUAAUACCAUCAGAGAUAAGCCUCCGUCGGCUGAAAGGGGCUUUUGGGAAUAAUAUAUUGAAGUGCGCCCGUUAGCACCUGUGGUGAAAUAAGUAGCCAUUGGCGGCAAUGCCGUUAAAAGUUUGAGUGAUAAAAAGAGUGGAACCGCGUCAUAUGUCGCCUCUUGC
Molecule: non-coding RNA, 198 nt
Filed under: Lutispora thermophila
Lineage: Bacteria; Bacillati; Bacillota; Clostridia; Lutisporales; Lutisporaceae
Description: T-box sequence
Rfam family: T-box leader
About the family: Uncharged tRNA acts as the effector for transcription antitermination of genes in the T-box leader family.
Source: RNAcentral